AUGGCGUGCUCGGCGGCGGCGGGCGUCGAGGCGACGGCCCUCCUGUCCCCCCGCUGCCCCGCCCCUUCCCCGCCCGACGGCCGCUCCCGCCGCCGCCUCGCCCUCGCCUCCCGGACGCGCCACCGCAGCCUCAGGGCGGCCGCGCAGCGUCCUCACAAGAGCACAACCGGCGCCGACCCCCUUAACAACAGGGCAAAUCCAAGGAGCGACGAGGCAGCGGUUUCCGCCGAAAAAGAACGGCAAAGGAAAUACAACGAUGGAGAUGGCAUAUCAAACCUUCAGCUGGAAGAUUUGGUAGGACUGAUACAGAACACCGAGAAGAAUAUACUUCUUUUGAAUCAAGCUCGUCUUCAGGCAAUGGAACACGCUGAUAAAAUUCUUAAAGAAAAGGAAGCCUUGCAGAGGAAGAUAAACAUUUUAGAGACGAGGUUGUCAGAAACAAAUGCACAACAUAAGCUUUCAAGUGAAGGGAAUGUCAGUGACUCUCCACUAUUAUUGGAGUUUGAUGUUCUAAAGGAAGAUAAUAUUCUACUGAAGGAGGACAUAGAAUUUUUCAAAACAAAGCUUAUAGAGAUUGCCGAGACAGAGGAGGGCAUAUUCAAAUUGGAGAAAGAGCGUGCUCUUUUAGAUGCUUCCCUUAGGGAGCUGGAGUCCAGAUUUAUAGCUGCCCAAGCAAAUAUGAUGAAACUUGGUCCUAGGGAUGCCUGGUGGGAGAAAGUAGAAAAAUUGGAAGACUUGCUUGAGACCACAGCAAACCAAGUAGAGCAUGCUGCUGUGAUAUUGGACCACAAUCAUGAUCUGCAGGAUAGGCUUGACAAUUUAGAGGCAUCACUGCAAGCAGCAAAUAUUUCAAAGUUCUCUUGUUCUCUUGUUGAUCUUUUGCAGCAAAAGGUCAAAUUGGUAGAAGACCGCUUCCAAGCAUGUAACAGCGAAAUGCAUUCUCAGAUUGAACUGUACGAGCAUUCAAUAGUGGAAUUUCAUGAUACUCUUAGCAAACUAAUAGAGGAAAGUGAGAAAAGAUCACUGGAGAAUUUUACAGGAAACAUGCCUUCAGAAUUAUGGAGCAAAAUUUCCCUUCUAAUUGAUGGAUGGUUACUGGAGAAGAAAAUAGCUUACAAUGACGCAAGUAUGUUACGAGAAAUGGUUCGGAAAAGGGACAGUCGCCUUCGGGAAGCGUACUUGUCAUACAGAGGUACCGAAAACAGGGAUGUUAUGGACAGUUUUCUUAAGAUGGCAUUACCAGGAACCAGUUCUGGUUUGCACAUCGCUCACAUAGCAGCAGAGAUGGCUCCUGUCGCAAAGGUUGGUGGCCUGGCAGAUGUGAUAUCUGGUCUUGGGAAGGCACUUCAGAAAAAAGGGCAUCUAGUAGAGAUUAUUCUUCCCAAAUACGACUGCAUGCAGGUUGACCAAGUUAGCAAUCUAAAGGUUUUAGAUGUUCUUGUGCAGUCCUACUUUGAAGGAAAUAUGUUCAACAACAAAAUCUGGACCGGGACUGUUGAAGGCCUACCCGUGUACUUUAUUGAGCCACAGCAUCCAGCGAUGUUCUUUUCGAGGGCUCAGUACUAUGGAGAGCAUGAUGACUUCAAACGUUUUACAUACUUCAGCCGUGCGGCACUAGAAUUACUUUACCAAUCUGGGAAGAAAGUUGAUAUAAUCCACUGCCAUGACUGGCAAACUGCAUUUGUUGCACCUCUUUAUUGGGAUGUAUAUGCAAAUCUAGGCUUCAACUCAGCUAGAAUUUGCUUCACCUGUCAUAAUUUUGAAUAUCAAGGAACUGCUCCAGCUCGUGAUUUAGCAUGGUGUGGCCUUGAUGUUGAGCACCUAGACAGACCAGACAGGAUGCGGGACAAUUCACAUGGAAGAAUAAAUGCUGUUAAGGGCGCAAUUGUGUAUUCAAACAUCGUAACCACUGUCUCGCCAACAUAUGCACUAGAGGUUCGCUCAGAGGGUGGGCGUGGACUCCAAGAUACACUUAAAGUACAUUCCAGGAAAUUUCUUGGGAUACUUAAUGGAAUCGACACAGAUACAUGGAACCCUUCCACAGAUAGGUAUCUCAAGGUCCAGUACAAUGCUAAGGAUCUCCAGGGAAAGGCAGCCAACAAAGCAGCCCUCAGAGAGCAACUAAACCUGGCUUCUGCAUAUCCUUCACAACCACUGGUUGGUUGCAUUACCAGGCUAGUUGCUCAGAAGGGUGUACAUCUUAUCAGGCAUGCAAUAUACAAAACAGCUGAAUUAGGAGGACAAUUUGUCCUUCUGGGUUCAAGUCCAGUACCAGAAAUUCAGAGAGAGUUUGAAGGUAUUGCAGACCAUUUUCAGAAUAACAACAAUAUCCGGCUGAUUUUGAAGUAUGAUGAUGCGCUAUCUCAUUGCAUAUAUGCUGCGUCUGACAUGUUCAUUGUCCCCUCUAUAUUUGAGCCAUGUGGCCUCACUCAGAUGAUAGCCAUGAGAUAUGGUUCUGUGCCGAUUGUUCGGAAAACUGGUGGGCUGAACGACAGUGUCUUUGACUUCGACGACGAAACAAUACCCAUGGAGGUGCGGAACGGCUUUACAUUUGUCAAGGCCGACGAGCAGGGCCUAAGCAGCGCGAUGGAAAGGGCGUUCAACUGCUACACGAGGAAGCCCGAGGUGUGGAAACAGCUUGUGCAGAAAGACAUGACGAUCGAUUUCAGCUGGGACACCUCGGCUUCGCAAUAUGAAGACAUCUACCAGAAGGCGGUGGCUCGAGCGAGGGCGGUGGCGUGA
RNAcentral lists this ribosomal RNA (2742 nucleotides) under Triticum aestivum (bread wheat). RNAcentral describes it as "partial small subunit ribosomal RNA". The record is from RNAcentral. Lineage: Eukaryota; Viridiplantae; Streptophyta; Magnoliopsida; Poales; Poaceae.